This 402-nucleotide unclassified non-coding RNA is filed under the name soil metagenome. RNAcentral's name for it is "partial contains 5.8S ribosomal RNA, internal transcribed spacer 2, and large subunit ribosomal RNA". The stretch from base 1 to 122 matches the Rfam family "5.8S ribosomal RNA", at positions 35 to 154 of the family's 154-position model. The record is from RNAcentral.
GAUGAAGAACGUAGCGAAAUGCGAUACUUGGUGUGAAUUGCAGAAUCCCGUGAACCAUCGAGUUUUUGAACGCAAGUUGCGCCCGAAGCCUUUUGGCCGAGGGCACGUCUGCCUGGGCGUCACGCAUCGCGUCGCCCCCCACAAUUCUCCGUAAAAGGAACAUGUGUUUUGGGGGCGGAUAUUGGUCUCCCGUGCUCAUGGCGUGGUUGGCCGAAAUAGGAGUCCUUUCGAUGGACGCACGAACUAGUGGUGGUCGUAAAAACCCUCGUCUUUUGUUUCGUGCUGUUGCUCGCAAGGUAAACUCUUUAAAAACCCCAAUGUGUCGUCUCUUGACGACGCUUCGACCGCGACCCCAGGUCAGGCGGGACUACCCGCUGAGUUUAAGCAUAUCAAAGCGGAGGA